Molecule: ribosomal RNA, 251 nt
Filed under: uncultured bacterium
Lineage: Bacteria
Description: partial 16S ribosomal RNA
Rfam family: Bacterial small subunit ribosomal RNA
Source: RNAcentral
UACAUGGGGUGCAAACGUUGCUCGGAAUCAUUGGGCGUAAAGCGCGCGUAGGCGGUUACUUAAGUUGGAUGUGAAAGCCCUCGGCUUAACUGAGGAAGUGCAUCCAAAACUGAGUAGCUAGUACGAAAGAGGGUCGCGGAAUUCCCGGUGUAGAGGUGAAAUUCGUAGAUAUCGGGAGGAACACCGGUGGCGAAGGCGGCGACCUGGGCAGUUGCUGACACUGAGGCGCGACAGCGUGGGGAGCAAACAGG